Molecule: non-coding RNA, 1026 nt
Organism: Chlorocebus sabaeus (green monkey)
Lineage: Eukaryota; Metazoa; Chordata; Mammalia; Primates; Cercopithecidae
Source: the annotation of a RefSeq genome assembly
CUAAGCUUGUCUUGACUGAUCAGGACUCCUCAGUUCACCAUGAGGCUCCCUGCUCAGCUCCUGGGGCUGCUAAUGCUCUGCGUCCCUGGAUCCAGUGGGGAUGUUGUAAUGACUCAGUCUCCACUCUCCCUGCCCGUCACCCCUGGACAGCCGGCCUCCAUCUCCUGCAGGUCUAGUCAAAGCCUUGUAUACAGUGAUGGAAACACCUACUUGAGUUGGUUUCAGCAGAAGCCAGGUCAACCUCCAAGGCUCCUGAUUUAUCAGGUUUCUAAACGGUACUCUGGGGUCCCAGACAGAUUCAGCGGCAGUGGGGCAGGGACAGAUUUCACACUGAAAAUCAGCAGAGUGGAGGCUGAGGAUGUCGGGGUUUAUUACUGCAUGCAAGUUACACACUCUCCUCCCACAGUGGUACAGCCCUGAGCAAAAACCUCCCUAUGGGGUGGCCCAGCUGCCCACAUGUGGUGCUUGACUGGGGAGCAGCUCAACAGGGUCUCAGAAUCUGUGUAAGAGGAAGAUGCUGGAGAAGCAGGGGACAAUUCACAGCUGAGGACUCUGGACUUUGAGAGCCCAGCCACACCACAGGCACCACUCCUUUAUGCCCUGGCAGUUGCCACAACCUUGACUGUCAUAAGCAGCAGGAGAAUGAGGGGUCCAGGUGCCCUAUGAGUAAACAAGCAAGACGGAAGGGAGAGGAGAAAUGACGGCUCACCCUAACGCUCCCUGCCUUGUGCACAUUUGUUAAUUAAAUGUAAUCAGCAGAGCAGACAGACCAUUGACACAGAUUAGGACUAUCCAUGUUGGAUACAUCUUUGGGUUUGGCAGUUUUGGGCAUAUUGUUUAGAGGACAUUUGAUAAUAUUUAAUAUUGAUAUUUUGCCAGUUUUCUAACUUCCUGAUCCCCCUGUCCUCCCACUCCAAAAGACAGUAGAGACACAUUCUACACUAGCUAUCUUAAGAGGAAGCUGGCUGAGGAAAGUCAAUAAAAAUCUUGGUUUUGGAGUAUCAAAUAGAUUAUUGCAAAUUCAUA